This 107-nucleotide small nuclear RNA is filed under the name Dasypus novemcinctus (nine-banded armadillo). The record is from RNAcentral. Lineage: Eukaryota; Metazoa; Chordata; Mammalia; Cingulata; Dasypodidae.
GUGCUCCGUUUGGCAGCACAUAUACUAAAAUUGGAACGAUACAGAGAAGAAUAGUAUAGCUCCUGUGCAAGGAUGACACACAAAUUCAUGAGGCAUUUCAAAUUUAA